UGCCAGCCGCCGCGGUAAUACAGAGGGUGCAAGCGUUAAUCGGAAUUACUGGGCGUAAAGGGCGCGUAGGCGGACAAUUAAGUUAGGUGUGAAAUCCCUGGGCUCAACCUAGGAAUUGCCUCUAAUACUGGUUGUCUAGAGUGCAGUAGAGGAAAGUGGAAUUUCCGGUGUAGCGGUGAAAUGCGUAGAUAUCGGAAGGAACACCAGUGGCGAAGGCGACUUUCUGGACUGCAACUGACGCUGAGGCGCGAAAGCGUGGGGAGCAAACAGGAUUAGAUA
RNAcentral lists this ribosomal RNA (279 nucleotides) under uncultured bacterium. RNAcentral describes it as "partial 16S ribosomal RNA". It matches the Rfam family "Bacterial small subunit ribosomal RNA", at positions 506 to 784 of the family's 1533-position model. The record is from RNAcentral.